UUAUAGUGCCAGGGGUGCCAUUUGUGCUGAGAAAAGUGAAAACUUUAACCCUUUGAACCUGAUUCGGGUAACGCCGACGUAGGAAAGCUACUUUAAUAUUGG
RNAcentral lists this non-coding RNA (102 nucleotides) under Clostridium autoethanogenum. RNAcentral's name for it is "TPP sequence". It matches the Rfam family "TPP riboswitch aptamer (THI element)". Rfam says of the family: Vitamin B(1) in its active form thiamin pyrophosphate (TPP) is an essential coenzyme that is synthesised by coupling of pyrimidine and thiazole moieties in bacteria. The previously detected thiamin-regulatory element, thi box was extended, resulting in a new, highly conserved RNA secondary structure, the THI element, which is widely distributed in eubacteria and also occurs in some archaea. Lineage: Bacteria; Bacillati; Bacillota; Clostridia; Eubacteriales; Clostridiaceae. The record is from RNAcentral.